UAGGGAAUCUUCGGCAAUGGACGAAAGUCUGACCGAGCAACGCCGCGUGAGUGAAGAAGGUUUUCGGAUCGUAAAACUCUGUUGUUAGAGAAGAACAAGGACGUUAGUAACUGAACGUCCCCUGACGGUAUCUAACCAGAAAGCCACGGCUAACUACGUGCCAGCAGCCGCGGUAAUACGUAGGUGGCAAGCGUUGUCCGGAGUUAUUGGGCGUAAAGCGAGCGCAGGCGGUUUCUUAAGUCUGAUGUGAAAGCCCCCGGCUCAACCGGGGAGGGUCAUUGUAAACUGGGAGACUUGAGUGCAGAAGAGGAGAGUGGAAUUCCAUGUGUAGCGGUGAAAUGCGUAGAUAUAUGGAGGAACACCAGUGGCGAAGGCGGCUCUCUGGUCUGUAACUGACGCUGAGGCUCGAAAGCGUGGGGAGCAAACAGG
RNAcentral lists this ribosomal RNA (429 nucleotides) under Gemmatimonadota bacterium. RNAcentral describes it as "Gemmatimonadetes bacterium partial 16S ribosomal RNA". It matches the Rfam family "Bacterial small subunit ribosomal RNA", at positions 355 to 776 of the family's 1533-position model. Lineage: Bacteria; Pseudomonadati; Gemmatimonadota. The record is from RNAcentral.